AUGGAGAUUUUAACAUGUGAUAUUUCCUCAAGCAAACUAAGUUCUUUUGCAAUUUGCUGCUCAAGUUGUGGCUCUCCUGCAGGGCAAAUCUUCCCAACAAGAAGCAUAACAGAGGCCUCUCUUUCAAUGUCUGAAGAUUGGUUAUCUAAUAACUGGCCAUCAGAGGGAGAAAUUCAGCUCCAUAACCUCCAUAUAAUAGUAGACAUCGUCGACAUUGGCACCAUUGGGUUGUACGAUCUGAUUUCUAGAUUGGCCAUCAUCAAUGUUCGAUUGAACUAUGAGAAGCAACCUUGA
Molecule: ribosomal RNA, 294 nt
Filed under: Triticum aestivum (bread wheat)
Lineage: Eukaryota; Viridiplantae; Streptophyta; Magnoliopsida; Poales; Poaceae
Description: partial small subunit ribosomal RNA
Source: RNAcentral